CAGGAAUCCGGCGUCUCGUCUCCCCUCCGGUGGUGGUUCGGCAGCUGAUCUGUUGGUUCAUUUUUCAGGACAAGUAUCCUAUUGAUUUUGAUGCAUGGCGAUAAACUCAGCCUGAAGGAACUCAGCCGGCCCCGAAGGAUAUGACUGCAAUUUCGACACAGGCGGCUGGUGGCGUGAAUAAAGGUCGAGUCUACGAGAUUAGAGUACAGCCAUCCUUCAGUCGUCCAUCAGCACCAUUAUUCACUGGGGCAUCAGUUUCCCAAGAAGACAUGAAAGCUAUGCGUCAAAAAGUGGAUCAAAUGUCGCAAGAAUUUCAAGCAACUCAGGCUUUGAUCCAAAAAUUAUUAAAAAAGAUAAGCAAGAAAUGAGUUGCAAUGGAGUCUGAGUCUGAGGAGGAGACUGAUUCUGAAUAGGCUAUUUGAAUAUUUUAGAGUUGAAGUUAGAGAAAUGUGUAAUUUAUGUUAUUUGAUAGUUGGUUGUUUGAUUAGUUGGUUGAAUUGUUAUAA
Non-coding RNA from Nicotiana tabacum (common tobacco), 506 nucleotides. Lineage: Eukaryota; Viridiplantae; Streptophyta; Magnoliopsida; Solanales; Solanaceae. The record is from RefSeq and is a predicted model, not a curated record.